RNAcentral lists this ribosomal RNA (253 nucleotides) under uncultured bacterium. RNAcentral describes it as "partial 16S ribosomal RNA". It matches the Rfam family "Bacterial small subunit ribosomal RNA", at positions 524 to 776 of the family's 1533-position model. The record is from RNAcentral.
UACGAAGGGGGCUAGCGUUGCUCGGAAUCACUGGGCGUAAAGCGCACGUAGGCGGAUUGUUAAGUCAGGGGUGAAAUCCUGGAGCUCAACUCCAGAACUGCCUUUGAUACUGGCGAUCUCGAGUCCGGGAGAGGUGAGUGGAACUGCGAGUGUAGAGGUGAAAUUCGUAGAUAUUCGCAAGAACACCAGUGGCGAAAGCGGCGCACUGGACCAUAACUGACGCUGAGGCGCGAAAGCUAGGGGAGCAAACAGG